UACGUAGGGGGCAAGCGUUGUCCGGAUUUAUUGGGCGUAAAGCGCUCGCAGGCGGCUUGCUACGUCGUGCGUGAAACACCCCGGCUCAACUGGGGAGGGUCGUGCGAUACGGGCAGGCUGGAGGCCAGUAGGGGGAUGCGGAAUUCCGGGUGUAGUGGUGGAAUGCGCAGAUAUCAGGAGGAACACCGGUGGCGAAGGCGGGUCUCUGGGCCGUAACUGACGCUGAGGAGCGAAAGCGUGGGGAGCGAACAGG
This 253-nucleotide ribosomal RNA is filed under the name uncultured bacterium. RNAcentral's name for it is "partial 16S ribosomal RNA". It matches the Rfam family "Bacterial small subunit ribosomal RNA", at positions 524 to 776 of the family's 1533-position model. The record is from RNAcentral.